CCCACUCUCCUCAUCCCUCUCUCCUCAUUCUUCUCUCCUCAUCUCUCUCUCCUCAUUCUUCUCUCCUCAUCUCUCUCUCCUCAUUCUUCUCUCCUCAUCUCUCUCCACCCCCUCUCUCCUCAUUCUUCUCUCCUCAUCCCUCUCUACCCCCCUCUCUCCUUCAUCUCUCCACCCCCUCUCCUCAUCCCUCUCCCCUCAUUCCUCUCCACCCCCUCUCUCCUCAUCCCUCUCUCCACCCACCUCUCUCCUCAUCCUUCUCUCCUUGUCCCUCCCCAACCCUCCUCUCUCCUCAUCCCUUUCUCCACCCACCUCUCUCCUCAUCCCUCUCUCCACCCCCGCUUUCUCCUCAUCUCGCUCUCCAAACCUUCCCCCCAGCCUGAAUGUAUUUGGGAGCCCGGAUGUGACCAUGGAGCCAAUGGUGUGUGCUGCAGAAGUCCUCACCAGGAGUAACGUCAUAAAGUGUUCCUGUCAGAUCUGGUGACUCCCCUGCUUCAGAACGGGAGGAAAAUAACUAGCGAUGAUCAGUGCAUGUGCUUGACAUGUCCCCUUCAUUAUCACUCCAGGAAAUACUGGAGAUGCACAAUCGAGAGCAUCCUGUCGGGCUGUAUCACCGCCUGGUACGGCAACUGCUCUGCCCACAACCGUAAGGCUCUCCAGAGGGUAAUGAGGUCUGUACAAUGCAUCACCGGGGGCAAACUACCUGCCCUCCAGGAACCUACACCACCCGAUGUCACAGGAAGGCCAAAAAGAUCAUCAAGGACAACAACCACCCGAGCCACUGCCUGUUCACCCCGCUAUCAUCCAGAAGGCGAGGUCAGUACAGGUGCAUCAAAGCUGGGACCAAGAGACUGAAAAACAGCUUCUAUCUCAAGGCCAUCAGACUGUUAAACAGCCAUCACUAACAUUGAGUGGCUGCUGCCAACAUACUGACUCAAAUCUCCAGCCACUUUAAUAAUUAAAAAUUGGAUGUAAUAAAUGUAUCACUAGUCACUAAACAAUGCCACUUCAUAUAAUGUUUACAUACCCUACAUUACUCAUCUCAUAUGUAUAUACUGUACUUUAUACCAUCUACUGCAUCUUGCCUAUGCCCUUCGGCCAUCGCUCAUCCAUAUAUUUAUAUGUACAUAUUCUUAUAUUCUUAUUCACUCCUUUACACUAGUAUGUAUAAGGUAGUUGCUGUGAAAUUGUUAGAUUACUUGAUUACGGUCGGAACUAGAAGCACAAGUAUUUCGCUACACUCGCAUUAACAUCUGCUAACCAUGUGUAUGUGACCAAUACAAUUUGAUUUGAUUUGAUCAAUGUUACAUUAUGUCUUACAGUAUAUCAAUGUAACAUUGUCUCCUAUAUCAAUAUAACAGUGUAUCCUAUAUCACUGUAACAGUGUGUGCUAUAUCAAUGUAACAUUGUGUCCUAUAUCAAUGUAACAUUGUCUUCUAUAUCAAUAUAACAGUGUAUCCUAUAUCAAUGUAACAGUGUGUGCUAUAUCAAUGUAACAUUGUGUCCUAUAUCAAUGUAACAUUGUCUCCUAUAUCAAUAUAAUAGUGUAUCCUAUAUCAAUGUAACAUUGUGUCCUACAGUUUAACAAUGUAACAAUGUGUCCUAUAGUAUAUCAAUGUAAAAUUAUGUCCUACAGUAUAUAAAUGUAGCAUUGUUGCAUAUAUCAAUGUAACAUUGUGUCCUAUAUCAAUGUAACAUUGUGUCCUAUAUCAAUGUGACAUUGUGUCCUAUAUCAAUGUGACAUUGCGUUCAAUUUCAAUGUAACAUUGUGUUUUAUAUCAAUGUAACAUUGUGUCCUAUAUUGAAGUAACAGUAUGUACUAUAUCAAUGUAACAUUGUGUGCCAUAUCAAUGUAAAUCUCUGUCUUGUAUCAAUGUAACACUGUGGCCUAAAUCAAUGAAAAAAAUGUGUCCUAUAUUAAUGUAACAGUGUGGCCUAUAUCAAUGUAAAAGUGUGUCCUAUAUUAAUGUAACAUUGUGUCCUAUAUCAACGCAAAAGUGUUUCUUCUAUCAAUGUAAAAGUAUGUCCUAUAUCAAUGUAACACUGUGUCCUAUAUCAUUUAACAUUGUAUCCAAUAUCAAUGUAACAUUGUGACCUAUAUCAAUGCAACAAUGUGUCCUAUAUCAAUGUGACUGUAUGUCAUUUAUCAAUCUAACAUUGUGUCCUAUGUCAAUAUAAAAUUGUGUCUUAUAUGAAUGUAACAUUGUGUCCUAUAUCAAUUUAACAUUGUCGUAUAUCAAUGUAACAUUAUGUCAUAUAUAAAUUUAACAUUGUGUCCUUUAUCAAUGUAACAAUGUGUCUUAUAGAAUGUAAUAGUGUGUCCUAUAUCAAUGUAACAUUGUGUCCUACCGUAUAUCAAAGCAAAAAUGUUUCCUACAGUAUAUCAAUGUAACAUUGUGUCCUAUAUCAAUGUAACAUUGUGUCCUAUAUCAAUGUAUCAAUGUGUCCUACAGUUUAUGAAUGUAACAUUGUGUCCUAUAUAAAUGUAGCAUUAUUUCCUAAAUCAAUUUAGCAUUGUGUCCUAUAUCAAUGUAACAUUCUGUCCUAUAUCAAUGUAUCAUUGUGUCCUAUAUCAAUGUAUCAAUGUGUCCUACAGUUUAUGAAUGUAACAUUGUGUCCUAUAUAAAUGUAGCAUUAUUUCCUAUGUCAAUUUAGCAUUGUAUAUCAAUGUCACAUUCUGUCCUAUAUCAAUGUAACAUUGUGUCCUAUAUUAAUGUAACAUUGUCCUAUAUCAGUGUAACAGUAUGUCUUAUGUCAAUGUAACAUUGUUUCCUAUAUCAAUGUAAUAAUGUGUCCAACAGUAUGUCAAUGAAACAUUGUGAUCUAAUUCAAUGUAAAAGUGUGUCCUAUAUCAUUGUAACGUAUUGUAAUAUAUCUAUGUAACAAUAUGUCAUAUAUCAAUGUAACAUUGUGUCCUAUAUCAAUGUAACAUUGUGUCCUAUAUCAAUGUAACAAUGUGUUCAAUUUCAAUAUAACAUUGUGCCCUAUAUCGAUAUAACCGUAUGUCUAUAUCAAUGUAACAUUGUGUGCCAUAUCAAUGUAAAUCUCUGUCAUCUUUUAAUGCAUCAUUGUAAAAGUGUGUCCUAUAUCAAUGUCACAUUGUGUCCUAUAUCAAUGUAACAUUGUCCUUUAUCAAUGUAACAUUGUGUUCUAUAUCAACAUAACAAUGUGUCCUAAAGUAUAUGACUGUAACAUUGUGCCCUAUAUCAUUGUAACAUUGUGUGCUAUAUCAUCGUAAAAUUGUGUCCUAUAUCAACGCAACAUUGUGUCCUAUAUCAAUGUAAGAUUGUGUCCUAUAUCAAUGUAACAUUGUGUCCUAUAUCAAUGUAACAGAAUGUCAUAUAUCAAUGUAACAUUGUGUCCUGUAUCAACAUAAUUUUGUGUCCUAUAUCAAUGUAACAUUGUGUCCUAUAUCAAUGUAACAUUGUCCUAUAUCAAUGUAAAAUUGUGUACUAUAUCAAUGUAACAUUGUGUCGAAUAUUAAUAAAACAUUGUGUUCUAUAUCAAUGUAAAAGUAUGUCCUAUAUCAUUGUAACUUUGUGAUCUAUUUCAACGUGAUAUUUUAUCCUAUAACAAUGUAACAUUGUGUCCUAUAUAAACGAAACAUUGUUUCCUUUAUCAAUGUAACUCUGUGCCUUAUGUAAAUGUUACAUUGUGUCCUAUAUCAAUGUAACAGUAUGUCCUACCGUAUAUGAAUGUAACAUUGUGUCCUACAUCAACGUAACAAUGUGUCCUACAGUAUAUGACUGUAACAUUGUGUCCUAUAUCAUUCUAACAUUGUGUGCUAUAUCAACGUAAAAUUGUGUCCUAUAUCAAUGCAACAUUGUGUCCUAUAUCAAUGUAACAUUGUGUCCUAUAUCAAUGUAACAUUGUCUCCUAUAUCAAUAUAACAGUGUAUCCUAUAUCAAUGCAACAUUGUGUCCUAUAUCAAUGUAACAUUGUGUCCUAUAUCAAUGUAACAUUGUCUCCUAUAUCAAUGUAACAUUGUGUCCUAUAUCAAUGAAGCAGUGCGUGCUAUAUCAAUGUAACAUUGUGUCCUACAGUAUAUCAAUGUAACAUUGUGGCCUAUAUCAAUGUGACAUGGUGUACUAUAUUUAUGUAACAGUAUGUCCUAUAUCAAUGUAACAAUGUCUCCUAUAUCAAUGCAAAUAAGUUUUAUAUAUCAAUGUAACAUUGUGCAUAUAUCAACAUAAAAUGGUGUCCUAUAUCAAUGUAACAUUUUGUCCUAUAUCAAUUUAACUGUAUGGCAUACAUCAAUGUAACAUUGUGUUCUAUAUCAAUGUAACAUUGUGCCCUAUAUUGAGUGAUCAGUAUGUCCUAUAUCAAUGUAGCAUUGUGUCCUAUUUCAAUGUAA
Molecule: long non-coding RNA, 4351 nt
Filed under: Salmo salar (Atlantic salmon)
Lineage: Eukaryota; Metazoa; Chordata; Actinopteri; Salmoniformes; Salmonidae
Description: lncRNA (ENSSSAG00000083163.1)
Source: RNAcentral